ACUGUGCCAGAAACGUGAAUAUUCCCGCACAGAAUGCAAAUGAAAAGAGGCUGGUGUUUUGUGUCUGGUUGUAAGAAUAGACAUGAAUAUAAGAAAAGCAAGAAGGCAUUUUUCUCUGUGCCCUCGGGUGAGGAUCGCAAAAAAUGGAUCAAACUCUGUGGGAGUAAGUCCAGGUCUCGGAAGCGCUCGCAAGUGAUAUGUGAGGAUCAUUUUACAGUAAGUGAAUGUGUUGGUUAAUUGCUACUCCUCUUAAUUUUGAAGGAAUUUAAAAUUCCAUAGCAGACACUGACUGUACAUUAGACAGCAUGCAUCACUGGAAACAUUCAGUGAUUAUCUUGUGGACUGUCUCACUUUAAGUGUUUAUUUCAAAUGAAAAUGAUUGGUCUUGACGUGUUUGCAGCUUACACUAGCUAAAUCAGUCCAUGUUCAAAUCUAGCAUUUCCAUCAUUUGAUGAGCUUUGAAAAAUGAGUAGGCAGCUCUUUAGUGCCACAGGGACAUGCGAUUUAAAAGAUUUUCCACCAGUACAAAAUUUGUAAUUUGAGUCAUCGAAUGAUAUGAAGGUUUGUGUAACAGUUUCUGAAAAUUCUCUAACUUUUGCUCCAGCUAGAAAGGACUUGGAAAACUACUGGCAGUUCAUGAAUUCAGAGAGGCUGGGUUUACCACCAGUCAAGGGAAAGCUGAAGAAAGGUGUCUUACCCACCAAGUUUAUUUUUCACCCAGAUAAAGAAGGGAAUGAUGGCAUACAGGCGACUUCUUUUCUCUGCCAAAAUAUGUCUCUGCCAGAGUCAGAUACUGAGAUUGGAGCGGCAGUUCCUUCGAGUGUGAAGCCAUCCUCCUCACAGAGCUGCACGUCACCUUUCUUCUUGUCAACUGGGUUAAAUUCUUGCUUGAGCCACGAGACCUCUGUUUUGGAAUCUGCUGUGCCUUUUCUUUCUAUUUUGGUUGAAGACGGAACAAAGAGCUCCUCUACUGCAAUCGGACAUUCAAUUGACGCAAGCAAUGAUGAUCUAGUAACAUCGUCCUGUCCCAAUAGCUUAUCUGAAUCUGUUAAGUGUGGCGAUAGUCUAAAUCACAAAUCGUUCCGGUUUUCUGAUGAAAAAAGUAGCACUGGUACAAUGGAUGUAGUUUAUGAUUUAGACUUUGAAACUAAGAAAGAUUUCAAAUUGAAGAAGAAGUUAUCCUCGACUGCAAUGAAAAUAAAGCAAUAAUUCGAAGAGGUAAAUCAUGUUCCUGCCUUUAAGCUUAAGUCUGAAGAUCAUACUGUACUAUUAACAUAUCAAGGUCAGGCGUUGUGAUUGGCUUAUUUGAUGUUUUGGACCAAUCUUAACCCUUGACCUUGAUAGAUAUAUUGAUAGCAUUGUUUGAUCGUGUGACUCAAAUUAACAUUUUUAAGAAAUUCAUAGCUUCAAACUUUAAAUUACUGUAAUACAAAAAUUUGAGUGAUAUAUCGUCACCAUCCAGCCGAAGUAUCACAUGGGCGGUUGUUGAUAAUUUGGAAUAUAAAGCGACUUCUUGAGUUCUGGGCUGUUCAGAUUUAAAAGUAACAAUUCAGGCAUCAAAUAUAAUUGUUAACUCUUUAAAAACAUAUCUUUUAUUUUUUUAUUUAAAUGUGCUGAAGACUUAGAAAACUGAGUAUCACGAGGGCGAAAAUGGAAACUCUUACUUUUCUCUGAAAUUUUUUCAAAAUCAGAUACGAAAAGUGAUUCUGAAUAUCUGUUGAAAAUUUCAAAUCUCUGUUGUGUUUAUAAUAGCCGCUUCCAUUCUACACUAGUCUUAUGGAGAUUGGCACUCUAUUGGUGUUUGUGAUAAUUUGACCGGAAGGUGACAAGAUAAUUGUUAGUCAAACUUCUUAUCAUUUCUUGGAAAAUACGAAGGUUGUCGCAAAAUAAAUGGAAGUGAAUCUAACUUUUGGAAACAAGAAUAGAUAUUAAGAUGAUCUUGUGCAAGAUUGUAGAUUGUCAUCCUUAGCUUUUCCAUGAGCCCAAGAUGAGCACAAUUGGUCAAAAUUCACUAACAUGCAACAAUUUGGCCAAUUAGUUUUUUUUUUUUUUAAAAAGGUAAGUUAGUAAAAAAAACACGGAGUUCAUUGAAAAGUUCAAAAAAUAAUUGGGGAGAAAAAGCUAAUCAAAAUCUGACCAAUUUACAGCAGACAGUUGAGUCGACGUAGCGUAGCGAUACCUGAAGCUGAUAUCAGCCGAUCAGCAAACUCUGUUCCCCCCCCACCACGCUACUUCAUCAGAGCUUGCCAAAAUUUGUCUCUACCGGAUCCUUUUUUGACAUUUUCAAAUCAGGGCUCCAAGAAGGAACUUAUCUCAUUCUAAGUUGCAAAACCCACUCACACAAUUCUUCAUUCACAU
This 2358-nucleotide long non-coding RNA is filed under the name Bemisia tabaci. Its description in RNAcentral is "lncRNA ENSSSA1NGG004943". The record is from RNAcentral. Lineage: Eukaryota; Metazoa; Arthropoda; Insecta; Hemiptera; Aleyrodidae.